UGGGGAAUAUUGCACAAUGGAGGGAACUCUGAUGCAGCGACGCCGCGUGAACGAAGAAGGCUUUCGAGUCGUAAAGUUCUUUUAUAUGGGAAGAUAAUGCCGGUACCAUAAGAAAAAGCCCCGGCUAACUACGUGCCAGCAGCCGCGGUAAUACGUAGGGGGCUAGCGUUGUCCGGAAUCACUGGGCGUAAAGGGUUCGCAGGCGGAAAUGCAAGUCAGGUGUAAAAGGCAGUAGCUUAACUACUGUAAGCAUUUGAAACUGCAUAUCUUGAGAAGAGUAGAGGUAAGUGGAAUUGUUAGUGUAGCGGUGAAAUGCGUAGAUAUUAAAAAGAAUACCGGUGGCGAAGGCGACUUACUGGGCUCAUUCUGACGCUGAGGAACGAAAGCGUGGGUAGCAAACAGG
Molecule: ribosomal RNA, 403 nt
Filed under: Fusobacteriota bacterium
Lineage: Bacteria; Fusobacteriati; Fusobacteriota
Description: Fusobacteria bacterium partial 16S ribosomal RNA
Rfam family: Bacterial small subunit ribosomal RNA
Source: RNAcentral